CUUUAAGGUCUAACCUGCCCAAUGAGGAUUUAAAUGGCCGCAGUAUUUUGACUGUGCAAAGGUAGCAUAAUUAUUAGUUUUUUAAUUGAAAGCUUGCAUGAAUGGUUGGACGAGAUAAAAUCUGUCUUUAUUUAAAUUAAAGUAGAAUUUAACUUUUAAGUUAAAAGGCUUAAAUGUUAAUAAAAGACGAGAAGACCCUAUAGAUCUUUAUUUAUUUAAAAUUAUAAUAAUUUAGGAUUAUUUUAGUUUAAAGUUUUAAUUAAAUUUUAUUGGGGUAAUAUAAAGAUUAAAUAAAUUCUUUUUGUUAAUAACAUUAAUUUAUGAGUGUAUGAUCCGGUAUUAUUGAUUAUAAGAUUAAGUUACCUUAGGGAUAACAGCGUAAUUUUUUUGGAGAGCUCUUAUCGAUAAAAAAGUUUGCGACCUCGAUGUUGGAUUAAAAGUUAGUUUGGGUGCAGAAGCUCAAGAUUUUGGUCUGUUCGACCAUUAAAUUUUUACAUGAUCUGAGUUCAGACCGGCGUAAGCCAGGUCGGUUUCUAUCUUUAUUUAAGUAAAAUAUUUUAGUACGAAAGGACCAAAUAUUUAAUAUAUAUAUUUUGUUUUUGAAUAAUAUUAUUACUUUGGCAGAAUAGUGCAAUGAAUUUAGAAUUCGUAAAUGUAAUUUUAUUACAAGUAAUACUUGUAUUUGGGAGAUUUGUUGUUAAUAGUUUUUUGUAUAUUAAUUCUUGUAAUUUGUGUAUUGGUGGGUGUUGCUUUUCUUACCUUACUGGAGC
Molecule: ribosomal RNA, 770 nt
Filed under: Prothymidia angusticollis
Lineage: Eukaryota; Metazoa; Arthropoda; Insecta; Coleoptera; Carabidae
Description: partial 16S ribosomal RNA
Rfam family: Bacterial large subunit ribosomal RNA (bases 1-564)
Source: RNAcentral